UGGCGGACGGGUGAGUAACGCGUGGAAAACCUGCCGUAUACUGGGGGAUAACACUUAGAAAUAGGUGCUAAUACCGCAUAAGCGCACAGCUUCGCAUGAAGCGGUGUGAAAAACUCUGGUGGUAUACGAUGGUUCCGCGUCUGAUUAGCUAGUUGGUGGGGUAAUGGCCUACCAAGGCAACGAUCAGUAGCCGGCCUGAGAGGGUGAACGACCACAUUGGGACUGAGACACGGCCCAAACUCCUACGGGAGGCAGCAG
RNAcentral lists this ribosomal RNA (258 nucleotides) under uncultured bacterium. RNAcentral describes it as "partial 16S ribosomal RNA". It matches the Rfam family "Bacterial small subunit ribosomal RNA", at positions 96 to 354 of the family's 1533-position model. The record is from RNAcentral.